This 497-nucleotide ribosomal RNA is filed under the name uncultured bacterium. RNAcentral describes it as "partial 16S ribosomal RNA". It matches the Rfam family "Bacterial small subunit ribosomal RNA", at positions 28 to 507 of the family's 1533-position model. The record is from RNAcentral.
GAUGAACGCUGGCGGCGUGCCUAAUACAUGCAAGUCGAGCGAACGGACGAGACGCUUUCUUCUCUGAUGUUAGCGGCGGACGGGUGAGUAACACGUGGAUAACCUACCUAUAAGACUGGGAUAACUUCGUGAAACCGGAGCUAAUACCGGAUAAUAUUUUGAACCGCAUGGUUCAAAAGUGAAAGACGGUCUUGCUGUCACUUAUAGAUGGAUCCGCGCUGCAUUAGCUAGUUGGUAAGGUAACGGCUUACCAAGGCAACGAUGCAUAGCCGACCUGAGAGGGUGAUCGGCCACACUGGAACUGAGACACGGUCCAGACUCCUACGGGAGGCAGCAGUAGGGAAUAUUGCGCAAUGGGCGAAAGCCUGACGGAGCAAUGCCGCGUGAGUGAUGAAGGUCUUCGGAUCGUAAAACUCUGUUAUUAGGGAAGAACAUAUGUGUAAGUAACUGUGCACAUAUUGACGGUACCUAAUCAGAAAGCCACGGCUAACUACGUG